CCAUACACCAUAGACUCAAGAGAAUUGGGCAUCCCGUCCGCUCUGCCAUACACAAGCUUGAGAUCGGUGGAUUAGUAGUUGGGUGGGUGACCACCAGCGAAUACCCACUGUUGUAUGUU
This 119-nucleotide ribosomal RNA is filed under the name Pseudogymnoascus sp. VKM F-4518 (FW-2643). Lineage: Eukaryota; Fungi; Ascomycota; Leotiomycetes; Thelebolales; Thelebolaceae. The record is from RNAcentral.